CCUACGGGAGACAGCAGUGGGGAAUAUUGGACAAUGGGGGUAACCCUGAUCCAGCGACGCCGCGUGAGUGAAGAAGUAUUUCGGUAUGUAAAGCUCUAUCAGCAGGGAAGAAAGAAAUGACGGUACCUGACUAAGAAGCCCCGGCUAACUACGUGCCAGCAGCCGCGGUAAUACGUAGGGGGCAAGCGUUAUCCGGCUUUAUUGGGUUUAAGGGGUGCGCAGGCGGUCUGUUAAGUCAGCGGUAAAAGCCCGGGGCUCAACCCCGGCCCGCCGUUGAAACUGGCAGUCUCGAGUUGGAGAGAAGUAUGCGGAAUGCGCGGUGUAGCGGUGAAAUGCAUAGAUAUCGCGCAGAACUCCGAUUGCGAAGGCAGCAUGCCGGCUCCACACUGACGCUGAGGCACGAAAGCGUGGGUAUCGAACAGGAUUAGAUACCCUAGUAGUC
This 442-nucleotide ribosomal RNA is filed under the name uncultured bacterium. RNAcentral's name for it is "partial 16S ribosomal RNA". It matches the Rfam family "Bacterial small subunit ribosomal RNA", at positions 338 to 795 of the family's 1533-position model. The record is from RNAcentral.